AUUGAACGCUGGCGGCAGGCUUAACACAUGCAAGUCGAGCGGGGUGAUGGUGCUUGCACUAUCACUUAGCGGCGGACGGGUGAGUAAUGCUUAGGAAUCUGCCUAUUAGUGGGGGACAACAUCUCGAAAGGGAUGCUAAUACCGCAUACGUCCUACGGGAGAAAGCAGGGGAUCACUUGUGACCUUGCGCUAAUAGAUGAGCCUAAGUCGGAUUAGCUAGUUGGUGGGGUAAAGGCCUACCAAGGCGGCGAUCUGUAGCGGGUCUGAGAGGAUGAUCCGCCACACUGGGACUGAGACACGGCCCAGACUCCUACGGGAGGCAGCAGUGGGGAAUAUUGGACAAUGGGGGGAACCCUGAUCCAGCCAUGCCGCGUGUGUGAAGAAGGCCUUAUGGUUGUAAAGCACUUUAAGCGAGGAGGAGGCUCUUUUGGUUAAUACCCAAGAUGAGUGGGCGUUACUCGCAGAAUAAGCACCGGCUAACUCUGUGCCAGCCGCCGCUGUAA
Molecule: ribosomal RNA, 503 nt
Filed under: uncultured bacterium
Lineage: Bacteria
Description: partial 16S ribosomal RNA
Rfam family: Bacterial small subunit ribosomal RNA
Source: RNAcentral